This 497-nucleotide ribosomal RNA is filed under the name uncultured bacterium. RNAcentral describes it as "partial 16S ribosomal RNA". It matches the Rfam family "Bacterial small subunit ribosomal RNA", at positions 28 to 507 of the family's 1533-position model. The record is from RNAcentral.
GAUGAGCGCUGGCGGCGUGCCUAAUACAUGCAAGUCGAGCGAACGGACGAGAAGCUUGCUUCUCUGAUGUUAGCUGCGGACGGGUGAGUAACACGUGGAUAACCUACCUAUAAGACUGGGAUAACUUCGGGAAACCGGAGCUAAUACCGGAUGAUAUUUUGAACCGCAUGGUUCAAAAGUGAAAGACGGUCUUGCUGUCACUUAUAGAUGGAUCCGCGCUGCAUUAGCUAGUUGGUAAGGUAACGGCUUACCAAGGCAACGAUGCAUAGCCGACCUGAGAGGGUGAUCGGCCACACUGGAACUGAGACACGGUCCAGACGCCUACGGGAGGCAGCAGUAGGGAAUCUUCCGCAAUGGGCGAAAGCCUGACGGAGCAACGCCGCGUGAGUGAUGAAGGUCUUCGGAUAGUAAAACUCUGUUAUUAGGGAAGAACAUAUGUGUAAGUAACUGUGCACAUCUUGACGGUACCUAAUCAGAAAGCCACGGCUAACUACGUG